This 254-nucleotide ribosomal RNA is filed under the name uncultured bacterium. RNAcentral describes it as "partial 16S ribosomal RNA". It matches the Rfam family "Bacterial small subunit ribosomal RNA", at positions 524 to 776 of the family's 1533-position model. The record is from RNAcentral.
UACAGAGGUGCCGAGCGUUAGGCGGAAUCACUGGGCUUAAAGCGCGUGUAGGCGGGUCGUUAAGUGUCCGCGUGAAAUCCCACGGCUCAACCGUGGAACUGCCGGGCAUACUGGCGACCUUGAGGCACUUAGGGGCGAGCGGAACAAAUGGUGGAGCGGUGAAAUGCGUAGAUAUCAUUCGGAACGCCGACGGUGAAAACAGCUCGCUGGGAGUGUCCUGACGCUGAGACGCGAAAGCCAGGGGAGCGAACGGG